GCGGGCGUAGCUCAGUUGGUUAGAGCGCUGGACUGUGAAUCCGGAGGCCGUGGGUUCGAACCCCAUCGCUCGCCCCA
RNAcentral lists this transfer RNA (77 nucleotides) under SAR86 cluster bacterium BACL1 MAG-120507-bin14. RNAcentral's name for it is "tRNA-His". It matches the Rfam family "tRNA". Rfam says of the family: Transfer RNA (tRNA) molecules are approximately 80 nucleotides in length. Lineage: Bacteria; Pseudomonadati; Pseudomonadota; Gammaproteobacteria. RNAcentral also lists the same sequence under 13 other names. The record is from RNAcentral.